AGCGGAGCCGAGCAGGAGCAGGAGGAGGAGGAGGAGGAGGAGGAGGAGGAAGAGAAGGAGAGGAGGAGGAGGAGAAGGUGCUGCCCCCGCACUAGGGAGGAGAGAGCCAGGGUGUCUGGGGGGGGACAGCCAGGCCUGGCCCCCCUCCCUGCGUCACCCACAUCCCGCUCAGUGUCCCCCAUCCCCUCCUGGUGCCACUCUGGGACCAACUGCACCCAUGAAACCGGCCCGUGACCCCCCCAAAUCGUGCUGAGUGUCCCCAGUCCCCCCCCCGUGACACUCUGGGACCGACUGCACCCCUGCCAUCCCCCAAAAACCGGCUGUGCUCCCCCAAAAGGGAUCCCCCAGCAGACUUCCAGACAACGCCAGCGACUUGUGUUUAUUACAAAAACUCGUCGUUCCCCAUUUACAAAGGAGCCCCCCAAAACUAACAGUUUCAUCUAAGUCUUUUUGUACAAAAAAAUAGCACUUUGGGACCCCAAAAAAGAAGUCAUCCACCACCUCCCCCCCCAAAAAAUCGCCUUUGGGGAGGGAGGUUUAUGACAUCAGCCACCGGAUUUGUAAAAACCAACCCCCCCCUUCCCUCCCCUUUCCCAAAUUAAAACAGAACAGAGAUGGGACGAGAUCAAACAGGGAGAGAAUUAUUGCCAGUUUGGGGGGCUGGACCCCCCAGGACCCCCCGCUGCAUAGAGAACCGGCCCCAGCCCCCCCGGAAUGAAGGGGUGACAGUGGAUUAAAGCUGGGAGAUGGGGGCAGCCUCGGGGACAGCCCCCAGAGCCCCCCAAACUCUCUGCGGGGUGUGGGAGGGGAGCAGGGGGGGCUCUUCCCCAGCCCAUCACCCCUUGUCAAGGCACGUUUGUGUUCUGUGUCCCGGGAAUGGCUGGGGGGGUCUGGGGGCUGCUGGGGGGGUUUGGGGCGGGCGGGGAGCGCCAGGAGCAGGGCGGGGACCCCGGUGCCAACAGAGCCCAAGUGGGGGUGUGGGAUCCGGCUGCGUUUCCAUAGGAAAGCCAAGCUCCUCGGGGGCCAGCCCGUGGGGACGGACACGGGGACAUCCCAACACCGGACCCGGGACCGGCUUUGGCACUUGAUCCCCGCUGGGGACGGAGUUGGGCUUGGGGGGGGUUCGGGGUGGGGGCAGAAUCAUCAAAUUGACCAUUAAAUACAGAACCCUCCUGUUUUUUGUCCCAGUCGUUUGUGGGUUUUGGGCUGGGGGGAUUGGGGGUGGGGGGAGCUCAUAGUGCUUCACAGGGUUAUUAAAAUACAAAUGCUUAAAGUUUCCUAUAUAAAAAUAUACAAAUGCAAAAAUAGAUAUUGAGAGAGAGAGCCGGGGGGCUGGGGGGCCGGGCCCUGCGCCCCCUCCCCGGGGAGCUUCUGCUGCCUUUCCUUUUUCUUUGUGUUUUUUUGUCUUUUUUUUACCAAAAAUCCCAAAUCAAAACAAGAUUCCCGCUUCCCACU
RNAcentral lists this long non-coding RNA (1455 nucleotides) under Parus major (Great Tit). RNAcentral describes it as "lncRNA (ENSPMJG00000000699.1)". Lineage: Eukaryota; Metazoa; Chordata; Aves; Passeriformes; Paridae. The record is from RNAcentral.